RNAcentral lists this long non-coding RNA (1233 nucleotides) under Olea europaea (common olive). RNAcentral describes it as "long non-coding RNA (OEUR_LNC014610)". Lineage: Eukaryota; Viridiplantae; Streptophyta; Magnoliopsida; Lamiales; Oleaceae. The record is from RNAcentral.
UAAAAUAAAUGCAAAGAAAUUAGUGAAUAGAGAUUAUUAAUUAUUGUUAAUAACAGAUUUAUGAUCAACAAAUUUCUUUCACCCAACCUGGAUUUUCUCAUCCUAUUCUCUCUGUACUUGAUCCUCAGUAAGGAGCAAGAGGAAAAAAUGCUAUUUAGAUGAAGAUAUUUAAAUUUGCAUCCCUUUCUUCUUCUAGGCAGGCCUAUUUAUAGAUUUCCUAUUGGGGUUUUGGAAGCAAUUAGGUCUUUUUGGUAAGUGACAAGUGGCGGUCAUCUAGUGGUAAAUUUCUAACUAAUUCUGUUAUAGGUUCGCGUUUUAUCCACCAACUUCAUUCAUUGGUUCUGAAAUCAUGUUUUAAGCAUUUACUCAUUUGUGCCUUUAUAACAGUUACUUUAUGAAAACAGUUAGCCACAGUAGUUGCAAACUCUUAUGCAAUGAAUGCUCACUUUUACUUGCACACCUAUUAUUCUCAAUGAGUUCGCAUGAGUUUGCCUUGUUGUUUAUUCGGUUUAACAAUUAUUAAUUGCUCCCCUCCUUUCAAUCUUUAACAGUUUCCUCCAAUUCUGAAAUAGUAAACUUCUUCACCUUUCUCCUUUCAUUCUUCUUCAUUCUUCAUCAUAGAAUGUUCAAUUAAAGGCGGCCCACUAGAAUUCUUCAAACAUUUUGAUAGCUCACAUUUCCAAGACGAAAUAUGUGAACACAAAUUCCCAUCAAAACCACAUUUCCUGAAAAAAAAAAUCUAUCUGAUUUUCCUAUAAACUCACUUAAAAACCGAAAUAGACCCCGGGAAAACCAAUCAAAUUGAAAGAGCUUCAGGCCGAACCCAAACAACAAUAAAUAUACAGACAGACAUAAAUAUUCAAAAACUUGAACAAAAUCACUAAAUUUCUUGUAAUAAGUGAUACAAUCCAUCAAAAUGUGGCAGAAAUAAAUACAUAAAAGAAUGAAACAGAAAAAACGACACCUGAGAGUCGAGAAGUCGCUGGUUAAGUCAAUAUGGCAGAAAACUCACCUGACGGUUAGCGAAUUUUUUGGGUUGUGAGUAUGGCCAAUUCUUCAACCCUUUUGCACUUGUUUGUUCGUCUUCCCCGUCUUGUUCGUAGAAUAGAGUAGACAAGCACUACUGAACGAAGUCCCCUAAAUAUGAUUGAUUUGAGGAAAUGGCUUUGUUUUGUCGGAUAUCUGGGCCUCGUAACCCAGAUUUGCGGCACCUCAACGGGCCAUUACUUUCCG